Long non-coding RNA from Lolium rigidum, 245 nucleotides. RefSeq lists it as uncharacterized. The record is from RefSeq and is a predicted model, not a curated record. The transcript has 3 exons. NCBI's taxonomy places the organism in Eukaryota, Viridiplantae, Streptophyta, Magnoliopsida, Poales, Poaceae.
UGCAGCUACUAUUUUAGUAAAAUAUUUGAUGUGCUAAAACAAUAACGUGGGAGAGAAGUCGUUUCUCCAAUGAAAAAUAAUAGGUUUGUUUAUGGUGGUCAAGCGCAGUUUUUUAAUGGUGAGACCCGUUGGGAACCAAGGCAUUGCAGCAAUGGUGUUGUUGACAGUGUUGGUGAGAAUUGUGAUGCCUCACAGGUCUUUGGGCAAUAAGAUAAAUGAAGCAUAUGCUGAUGAAAAAGGACAUA